UACGUAGGUGGCAAGCGUUGUCCGGAAUCAUUGGGCGUAAAGCGCGUGUAGGCGGCCCGGUAAGUCCGCUGUGAAAGUCGGGGGCUCAACCCUCGAAUGCCGGUGGAUACUGUCGGGCUAGAGUGCGGGAGAGGCGAGUGGAAUUCCUGGUGUAGCGGUGAAAUGCGCAGAUAUCGAGAGGAACACCUGCGGCGAAGGCGGGUAGCUGGGCCGACACUGACGCUGAGGCGCGAAAGCCAGGGGAGCGAACGGG
RNAcentral lists this ribosomal RNA (253 nucleotides) under uncultured bacterium. RNAcentral's name for it is "partial 16S ribosomal RNA". It matches the Rfam family "Bacterial small subunit ribosomal RNA", at positions 524 to 776 of the family's 1533-position model. The record is from RNAcentral.